UUGAUCCUGGACUCAGGAUGAACGCUAGCUACAGGCUUAACACAUGCAAGUCAGGGGCAGCAUUAUCGAAGCUUGCUUUGGUAGAUGGCGACCGGCGCACGGGUGAGUAACGCGUAGUCCAACUUCCCCUUAGUAGGGGAUAGCCCGGCGAAAGUCGGAUUAAUACCCUAUGUUGUUCGAAGCAGACAUCUAAAUUGAACCAAAGGUUUACCGCUAAGGGAUGGGGAUGCGUCUGAUUAGGUUGUUGGCGGGGUAACGGCCCACCAAGCCUGCGAUCAGUAGGGGUUCUGAGAGGAAGGUCCCCCACAUUGGAACUGAGACACGGUCCAAACUCCUACGGGAGGCAGCAGUGAGGAAUAUUGGUCAAUGGUCGAGAGACUGAACCAGCCAAGUAGCGUGCAGGACGACGGCCCUAUGGGUUGUAAACUGCUUUUAUACAGGGAUAAAGUCGCCUACGUGUAGGUGUUUGCAGGUACCGCAUGAAUAAGGACCGGCUAAUUCCGUGCC
Molecule: ribosomal RNA, 507 nt
Filed under: uncultured bacterium
Lineage: Bacteria
Description: bacterial SSU rRNA
Rfam family: Bacterial small subunit ribosomal RNA
Source: RNAcentral